Molecule: ribosomal RNA, 495 nt
Filed under: uncultured bacterium
Lineage: Bacteria
Description: partial 16S ribosomal RNA
Rfam family: Bacterial small subunit ribosomal RNA
Source: RNAcentral
GACGAACGCUGGCGGCGUGCCUAAUACAUGCAAGUAGAACGCUGAAGGAGGAGCUUGCUUCUCUGGAUGAGUUGCGAACGGGUGAGUAACGCGUAUGUAACCUGCCUGGUAUCGGGGGAUAACUAUUGGAAACGAUAGCUAAUACCGCAUAAGAGUAGAUGUCGCAUGACAUUUGCUUAAAAGUUGCAAUUGCCUCACUACCAUAUGGACCUGCGUUGUAUUAUCUAGUUGGUGAGGUAACGGCUCACCAAGGCAACGAUACAUAGCCGACCUGAGAGGGGGAUCCGCCAACCUGGGAACGGGACACGGCCCAGAACUCUAAGGGAGGCAGCCGUAGGGGAACUUCGGAAAUGGACGGAAGGCUGACCGAGCAACGCCGCGUGAGUGAAGGAGGGUUUCGGAUCGUAAAGCUCUGUUGUAAGAGAAGAAAGAGUGUGAGAGUGGAAAGUUCACACUGUGACGGUAUCUUACCAGAAAGGGACGGCUAACUACGUG